Molecule: ribosomal RNA, 926 nt
Filed under: uncultured bacterium
Lineage: Bacteria
Description: bacterial SSU rRNA
Rfam family: Bacterial small subunit ribosomal RNA
Source: RNAcentral
UAGAGUUUGAUCAUGGCUCAGAACGUACGCUGGCGGCACGCCUAACACAUGCAAGUCGAACGAAGUAGCAAUACUUAGUGGCAGACGGGUGAGUAACAUGUGGGUAUCUACCCUUUGGCCUGGAAUAACACGAGGAAACUUGUGCUAAUACCGGAUAAGUCUUUACGGAGAAAGCUUUAUGCACCAUUGGAUGAGCCCGCACUUGAUUAGUUUGUUGGUAGGGUAAUGGCCUACCAAGACUAUGAUCAAUAGCUGAUUUGAGAGGAUGAUCAGCCACAUUGGGACUGAGACACGGCCCAAACUCCUACGGGAGGCAGCAGUGGGGAAUCUUGCACAAUGGAGGAAACUCUGAUGCAGCGAUGCCGCGUGAGUGAAGAAGGCCUUUGGGUUGUAAAGCUCUUUCGUCGGGGAAGAAAAUGACUGUACCCGAAUAAGAAGGUCCGGCUAACUUCGUGCCAGCAGCCGCGGUAAUACGAAGGGACCUAGCGUAGUUCGGAAUUACUGGGCUUAAAGAGUUCGUAGGUGGUUGAAAAAGUUAGUGGUGAAAUCCCAGAGCUUAACUCUGGAACUGCCAUUAAAACUUUUCAGCUAGAGUAUGAUAGAGGAAAGCAGAAUUUCUAGUGUAGAGGUGAAAUUCGUAGAUAUUAGAAAGAAUACCAAUUGCGAAGGCAGCUUUCUGGAUCAUUACUGACACUGAGGAACGAAAGCAUGGGUAGCGAAGAGGAUUAGAUACCCUCGUAGUCCAUGCCGUACACGAUGUGUGUUAGACGUUGGAAAUUUAUUUUCAGUGUCGCAGGAAACCGAUAAACACACCGCCUGGGGAGUACGACCGCAAGGUUAAAACUCAAAUGAAUUGACGGGGACCCGCACAAGUAGUGGAGCAUGUGGUUUAAUUUCGAAGAUACGCGCAGAACCUUACCAACACU